GGCGGCGGGUGAAUAACACGUAAGAAUUUGCCUUUAGGAGGGGGACAACAACUGGAAACGGUUGCUAAUACCCCAUAUGCUUUCGAGUGAAAUGGAUUUUUCCGCCUAAAGAGAAGCUUGCGGCUGAUUAGCUUGUUGGUGAGGUAAUGGCUCACCAAGGCGACGAUCAGUAUCUGGUUUGAGAGGACGAUCAGACACACUGGAACUGAGACACGGUCCAGACUCCUACGGGAGGCAGCAGUGGGGAAUUUUCCGCAAUGGGCGAAAGCCUGACGGAGCAAUACCGCGUGAGGGAUGACGGCCUAUGGGUUGUAAACCUCUUUUUUCAGGGAGGAAUAAAAUGACGUGUACCUGAAGAAUAAGCAUCGGCUAACUCCGUGCCAGCAGCCGCGGUAAGACGGAGGAUGCAAGUGUUAUCCGGAAUCACUGGGCGUAAAGCGUCUGUAGGUGGUCCAAUAAGUCAACUGUUAAAUCUUGAGGCUCAACCUCAAAAUCGCAGUCGAAACUAUUAGACUAGAGUAUAGUAGGGGUAAAGGGAAUUUCCAGUGGAGCGGUGAAAUGCGUAGAGAUUGGAAAGAACACCGAUGGCGAAGGCACUUUACUGGGCUAUUACUAACACUGAGAGACGAAAGCUAGGGUAGCAAAUGGGAUUAGAUACCCCAGUAGUCCUAGCCGUAAACAAUGGAUACUAGAUGUUGGACAGAUCGACCUGUGCAGUAUCAAAGCUAACGCGUUAAGUA
Molecule: ribosomal RNA, 740 nt
Filed under: uncultured bacterium
Lineage: Bacteria
Description: bacterial SSU rRNA
Rfam family: Bacterial small subunit ribosomal RNA
Source: RNAcentral